GACGAACGCUGGCGGCGUGCCUAAUACAUGCAAGUCGAACGCAUUUUCUUUCACCGUAGCUUGCUACACCGAAAGAAAAUGAGUGGCGAACGGGUGAGUAACACGUGGGUAACCUGCCCAUCAGCGGGGGAUAACACUUGGAAACAGGUGCUAAUACCGCAUAAUUCCAUUUACCGCAUGGUAGAUGGGUGAAAGGCGCUUUUGCGUCACUGAUGGAUGGACCCGCGGUGCAUUAGCUAGUUGGUGGGGUAACGGCCUACCAAGGCUGCGAUGCAUAGCCGAACUGAGAGGGUGAUCGGCCACACUGGGACUGAGACACGGCCCAGACUCCUACGGGAGGCAGCAGUAGGGAAUCUUCGGCAAGGGACGCAAGUCUGACCGAGCAACGCCGCGUGAGUGAAGAAGGUUUUCGGAUCGUAAAACUCUGUUGUUAGAGAAGAACAAGGAUGAGAGUGGAAAGUUCAUCCCUUGACGGUAGCUAACCAGAAAGCCACGGCUAACUACGUG
This 507-nucleotide ribosomal RNA is filed under the name uncultured bacterium. RNAcentral's name for it is "partial 16S ribosomal RNA". It matches the Rfam family "Bacterial small subunit ribosomal RNA", at positions 28 to 507 of the family's 1533-position model. The record is from RNAcentral.